CCUACGGGAGGCAGCAGCUAAGAAUAUUCCGCAAUGGACGAAAGUCUGACGGAGCGACGCCGCGUGAACGAAGAAAGCCGGAAGGUUGUAAAGUUCUUUUGAAACUGAAGAAUAAGUAUUGCAGGGAAUGGCGAUAUGGUGACGGUAGGUUUUGAAUAAGCAACGGCUAAUUACGUGCCAGCAGCCGCGGUAACACGUAAGUUGCGAGCGUUGUUCAGAAUUAUUGGGCGUAAAGGGCAUGUAGGCGGUUUUGCAAGCUUGGUGUGAAAUGCAUAGGCUCAACCUAUGAACUGCAUUGAGAACUACAAGACUUGAGUUACUGAGGUGGAACUGGAAUUCCAGGUGUAGGGGUGAAAUCUGCAGAUAUCUGGAAGAACACCAAUGGCGAAGGCAAGUUUCAAGCAGAUAACUGACGCUGAGGUGCGAAGGUGCGGGGAGCAAACAGGAUUAGAUACCCUAGUAGUC
RNAcentral lists this ribosomal RNA (465 nucleotides) under Salmonella enterica subsp. enterica serovar Cerro. RNAcentral's name for it is "bacterial SSU rRNA". It matches the Rfam family "Bacterial small subunit ribosomal RNA", at positions 338 to 795 of the family's 1533-position model. Lineage: Bacteria; Pseudomonadati; Pseudomonadota; Gammaproteobacteria; Enterobacterales; Enterobacteriaceae. The record is from RNAcentral.